This 76-nucleotide transfer RNA is filed under the name Candidatus Zixiibacteriota bacterium. RNAcentral describes it as "tRNA-His". It matches the Rfam family "tRNA". Rfam says of the family: Transfer RNA (tRNA) molecules are approximately 80 nucleotides in length. Their secondary structure includes four short double-helical elements and three loops (D, anti-codon, and T loops). The record is from RNAcentral. Lineage: Bacteria; Pseudomonadati; Candidatus Zixiibacteriota.
GCUGGGGUAGCUCAGUUGGUCUUAGAGCAUCAGAUUGUGGAUCUGAGGGUCGGGAGUUCGAAUCUCCCCCCCAGUA